GCUUCGGUGGCCUAGUGGUUAGAUCGUCUACCUUGGAUGCGGGAGGUCGUGGGUUCGAUUCCCGGUCGAAUCA
Non-coding RNA from Potamilus streckersoni, 73 nucleotides. NCBI's taxonomy places the organism in Eukaryota, Metazoa, Mollusca, Bivalvia, Unionida, Unionidae. The record is from the annotation of a GenBank genome assembly.